CCUACGGGUGGCAGCAGUGAGGAAUAUUGGUCAAUGGGCGCAAGCCUGAACCAGCCAAGUAGCGUGAAGGAUGACUGCCCUACGGGUUGUAAACUUCUUUUGUAAAGGGAUAAAGUGAGGCACGUGUGCCUUUUUGUAUGUACUUUAUGAAUAAGCAUCGGCUAACUCCGUGCCAGCAGCCGCGGUAAUACGGAGGAUCCGAGCGUUAUCCGGAUUUAUUGGGUUUAAAGGGAGCGUAGGUGGGUUGUUAAGUCAGUUGUGAAAGUUUGCGGCUCAACCGUAAAAGUGCCAUUGAUACUGGCAGUCUUGAGUACAGUUGAGGUAGGCGGAAUGCGUGGUGUAGCGGUGAAAUGCUUAGAUAUCACGAAGAACUCCGAUUGCGAAGGCAGCCUACUAAACUGCCACUGACAUUGAUGCUCGAAAGUGUGGGUAUCAAACAGGAUUAGAUACCCUAGUAGUC
RNAcentral lists this ribosomal RNA (460 nucleotides) under uncultured bacterium. Its description in RNAcentral is "partial 16S ribosomal RNA". It matches the Rfam family "Bacterial small subunit ribosomal RNA", at positions 338 to 795 of the family's 1533-position model. The record is from RNAcentral.